ACUUCGGGAAACCGGAGCUAAUACCGGAUAAUAUUUUGAACCGCAUGGUUCAAAAGUGAAAGACGGUCUUGCUGUCACUUAUAGAUGGAUCCGCGCUGCAUUAGCUAGUUGGUAAGGUAACGGCUUACCAAGGCAACGAUGCAUAGCCGACCUGAGAGGGUGAUCGGCCACACUGGAACUGAGACACGGUCCAGACUCCUACGGGAGGCAGCAGUAGGGAAUCUUCCGCAAUGGGCGAAAGCCUGACGGAGCAACGCCGCGUGAGUGAUGAAGGUCUUCGGAUCGUAAAACUCUGUUAUUAGGGAAGAACAUAUGUGUAAGUAACUGUGCACAUCUUGACGGUACCUAAUCAGAAAGCCACGGCUAACUACGUGCCAGCAGCCGCGGUAAUACGUAGGUGGCAAGCGUUAUCCGGAAUUAUUGGGCGUAAAGCGCGCGUAGGCGGUUUUUUAAGUCUGAUGUGAAAGCCCACGGCUCAACCGUGGAGGGUCAUUGGAAACUGGAAAACUUGAGUGCAGAAGAGGAAAGUGGAAUUCCAUGUGUAGCGGUGAAAUGCGCAGAGAUAUGGAGGAACACCAGUGGCGAAGGCGACUUUCUGGUCUGUAACUGACGCUGAUGUGCGAAAGCGUGGGGAUCAAACAGGAUUAGAUACCCUGGUAGUCCACGCCGUAAACGAUGAGUGCUAAGUGUUAGGGGGUUUCCGCCCCUUAGUGCUGCAGCUAACGCAUUAAGCACUCCGCCUGGGGAGUACGACCGCAAGGUUGAAACUCAAAGGAAUUGACGGGGACCCGCACAAGCGGUGGAGCAUGUGGUUUAAUUCGAAGCAACGCGAAGAACCUUACCAAAUCUUGACAUCCUUUGACAACUCUAGAGAUAGAGCCUUCCCCUUCGGGGGACAAAGUGACAGGUGGUGCAUGGUUGUCGUCAGCUCGUGUCGUGAGAUGUUGGGUUAAGUCCCGCAACGAGCGCAACCCUUAAGCUUAGUUGCCAUCAUUAAGUUGGGCACUCUAAGUUGACUGCCGGUGACAAACCGGAGGAAGGUGGGGAUGACGUCAAAUCAUCAUGCCCCUUAUGAUUUGGGCUACACACGUGCUACAAUGGACAAUACAAAGGGCAGCGAAACCGCGAGGUCAAGCAAAUCCCAUAAAGUUGUUCUCAGUUCGGAUUGUAGUCUGCAACUCGACUACAUGAAGCUGGAAUCGCUAGUAAUCGUAGAUCAGCAUGCUACGGUGAAUA
This 1236-nucleotide ribosomal RNA is filed under the name Staphylococcus aureus. Its description in RNAcentral is "bacterial SSU rRNA". It matches the Rfam family "Bacterial small subunit ribosomal RNA", at positions 146 to 1368 of the family's 1533-position model. The record is from RNAcentral. Lineage: Bacteria; Bacillati; Bacillota; Bacilli; Caryophanales; Staphylococcaceae.